UAUGUAGGCAGCAAGCGUUGUUCGGAGUUAUUGGGCGUAAAGAGCGUGUAGGCGGCUUUACAGGUCCGUUGUGAAAACUCGAGGCUCAACCUCGAGACGCCGGUGGAAACCGUAAGGCUAGAGUCCGGAAGAGGAGAGUGGAAUUCCUGGUGUAGCGGUGAAAUGCGCAGAUAUCAGGAAGAACACCCGUGGCGAAGGCGGCUCUCUGGGACGGUACUGACGCUGAGACGCGAAAGCGUGGGGAGCGAACAGG
This 253-nucleotide ribosomal RNA is filed under the name uncultured bacterium. RNAcentral's name for it is "partial 16S ribosomal RNA". It matches the Rfam family "Bacterial small subunit ribosomal RNA", at positions 524 to 776 of the family's 1533-position model. The record is from RNAcentral.